Molecule: long non-coding RNA, 559 nt
Filed under: Elaeis guineensis (African oil palm)
Lineage: Eukaryota; Viridiplantae; Streptophyta; Magnoliopsida; Arecales; Arecaceae
Description: long non-coding RNA (EGUI_LNC027307)
Source: RNAcentral
CUGCCAUGAAAUUAGGAGUUGACGGUGCUUGAGACAGCAUCCGCCCAGUUGAAGGUGCCCGAGGAAUAGUCGGCACAGUAGUGGGCAAUUUUGGUUCGGCCCCGAUAGCAGACUCAGCCUAACCCCCCACCGACGAAACCACAAUUGGCAUCAUCUCAGCUGCAACCGGCAUGAUGGCCAUGACAUCUCCAUCUCUUAUUGAUUCUUCUCCGAUCGGUGGCACAUCAGCUGGAAAAAGCAUUGUUGGAGCUGACAGUGCGAUAAUCGGCUCAGCAUCGAAAACUGCUAUCGAUGGAAUGUUGGUCUUCCGCACUGAUAUUGACUUCGAACCAACUCGACUCUUCUUUGUCAUUCGGGAUGGUCCAGCAUCGAUCGCUGCUCUCUUCUUAGCAGCAUGCUAACGAACAUCGAUCGUCGAGAUUCGCAUCGUCGGAUGCAUAACUGCAAUCAGAAAGCAAAAAGAUUCAGUUAUAGAGUUCAAAGAUAAAUAAAAAACAAAAUGAGUGACAAAACUAAGCGAUACCUAAGGAGGUCACCAGACCCAGUCCGACGUCAUAGA